UACGAAGGGUGCUAGCGUUGUUCGGCCUUACUGGGCGUAAAGCGCGCGCAGGCGGCCAUCCAAGUCAGUGGUGAAAGCCCGGAGCUCAACUCCUGAACUGCCAUUGAAACUGGUUGGCUAGAGUACGAGAGAGGUGAGUGGAAUUCCCAGUGUAGAGGUGAAAUGCGUAGAUAUGGGGAAGAACACCGGUGGCGAAGGCGGCUCACUGGCUCGUUACUGACGCUCAGGCGCGACAGCGUGGGGAGCAAACAGG
Molecule: ribosomal RNA, 253 nt
Filed under: uncultured bacterium
Lineage: Bacteria
Description: partial 16S ribosomal RNA
Rfam family: Bacterial small subunit ribosomal RNA
Source: RNAcentral